CAGAAAGUAGUUUAAGAUAAAAAUGCUAGUUUUGGGGACUAGCGAUGGGAUUUGAAGUCCUCUUUUUGA
This 69-nucleotide transfer RNA is filed under the name Hoplodactylus duvaucelii (Duvaucel's gecko). RNAcentral describes it as "tRNA-Pro". It matches the Rfam family "tRNA". Rfam says of the family: Transfer RNA (tRNA) molecules are approximately 80 nucleotides in length. Lineage: Eukaryota; Metazoa; Chordata; Lepidosauria; Squamata; Diplodactylidae. The record is from RNAcentral.